UAAAACUGAGAGAAACGCAUUAAAUAUAAGAGGAGAACAACGACACAACACUGCAAUAUAACACACACAGACACGGACCAAGCAUCAGACAAAAUCCCAUGAGAAAAACAAAUAUAACAUCAAAACCAAAUACAUGAAUUUGGGAUAGACAAGUACCGUGACACGUCUUAUCGCAAUGUGAAUUUACACUCAAAAUUAAGAGAAAACAAACGACGCAACGUUAAAAUGUAACACAAACAGAAACGAAC
This 248-nucleotide long non-coding RNA is filed under the name Mytilus galloprovincialis (Mediterranean mussel). The record is from RNAcentral. Lineage: Eukaryota; Metazoa; Mollusca; Bivalvia; Mytilida; Mytilidae.